This 450-nucleotide ribosomal RNA is filed under the name uncultured prokaryote. RNAcentral's name for it is "bacterial SSU rRNA". It matches the Rfam family "Bacterial small subunit ribosomal RNA", at positions 355 to 796 of the family's 1533-position model. The record is from RNAcentral.
UCGGGAAUUUUGGGCAAUGGGCGCAAGCCUGACCCAGCAACGCCGCGUGAGGGAUGAAGGCCUUCGGGUCGUAAACCUCUGUCGGGAGGGAAGAAUGGUCGGCGGGCAAACAGUCCGACGGCCUGACGGUACCUCCAAAGGAAGCGCCGGCUAACUCCGUGCCAGCAGCCGCGGUAAUACGGAGGGCGCAAGCGUUGUUCGGAAUUACUGGGCGUAAAGCGCGUGUAGGCGGCUUGGCAAGUCGGGUGUGAAAUCCCGGGGCCCAACCCCGGAACUGCACUCGAAACUGCUUCGCUCGAGUCCCGGAGAGGAAGGCGGAAUUCCCGGUGUAGAGGUGAAAUUCGUAGAUAUCGGGAGGAACACCAGAGGCGAAGGCGGCCUUCUGGACGGUGACUGACGCUGAGACGCGAAAGCGUGGGGAGCAAACAGGAUUAGAUACCCGGGUAGUCC